Molecule: ribosomal RNA, 519 nt
Filed under: uncultured bacterium
Lineage: Bacteria
Description: partial 16S ribosomal RNA
Rfam family: Bacterial small subunit ribosomal RNA
Source: RNAcentral
GACGAACGCUGGCGGCGUGCCUAAUACAUGCAAGUCGAGCGAGUCUGCCUUGAAGAUCGGAGUGCUUGCACUCUGUGAAACAAGAUACAGGCUAGCGGCGGACGGGUGAGUAACACGUGGGUAACCUGCCCAAGAGAUCGGGAUAACACCUGGAAACAGAUGCUAAUACCGGAUAACAACAGAUGAUGCCUAUCAACUGUUUAAAAGAUGGCUCUGCUAUCACUCUUGGAUGGACCUGCGGUGCAUUAGCUAGUUGGUAGGGUAACGGCCUACCAAGGCGAUGAUGCAUAGCCGAGUUGAGAGACUGAUCGGCCACAUUGGGACUGAGACACGGCCCAAACUCCUACGGGAGGCAGCAGUAGGGAAUCUUCCACAAUGGACGCAAGUCUGAUGGAGCAACGCCGCGUGAGUGAAGAAGGGUUUCGGCUCGUAAAGCUCUGUUGUUGGUGAAGAAGGACAGGGGUAGUAACUGACCUUUGUUUGACGGUAAUCAAUUAGAAAGUCACGGCUAACUACGUG